Dermochelys coriacea (leatherback sea turtle) is the source of this 1681-nucleotide long non-coding RNA. RefSeq lists it as uncharacterized. The record is from RefSeq and is a predicted model, not a curated record. Lineage: Eukaryota; Metazoa; Chordata; Testudines; Dermochelyidae. The transcript has 5 exons.
AAGUUACAGGAUAUUCUUGCAUUGUUUUUGUGUUCUCCCUCCUCCUUGUUACUGUCGGUGUGUGCCUCACACUGUGACUUCUUCCCCAGAAGUCUAAAAAAGGUGUCUGCCCUCGUUAUUGCUGUCCUGGUGUCUAUGUGCCUGCAUUAAGUGGAAACUGUUUUGGCUAUCUCAUAGAGGGCACCACCUACCCCGUGGCAGAUCGCAGAGAAUAACAUACCACAAUGCAGACUAACACGGCUACCACUGAAACAAUUCUCCAUAGUGACCUCUGGAGCCUUAGUCCUAACCAACAGUGAUCCAGGUGCCAGAACAAAAGGAGGAAACUCAUUAUACAAAGGUGCACUUCUGAGAUCCACAUCUGGACUUUUCCAAAACUGGAGAACGGAACUGGAGAACAAACUUCGGUUUGGCCUAUCAAUGAGUGAGGAGUCAGCAACUACAGAGGCUGAAUUGUGUGGACAAAGUCUCUGAAAAGUAGGGCUGCAGCAGGAGAGCUCUGAAAUGGAACAGAAUUUCUGAAAAACUCACAGGACUCAUAUGCUGCAUCUUUGGAAACUGCUGCUAUGGCAGCAAGGGAGGGAACUCCUACCAUAAAACUAGCUGACCUGUUAAAAAGAAGAAAUUGCAAACAGCUAAACAAGGAGGUGCAAGAGAGUGGGAAAUAUGAAUGCAAUGGCAGAGAGCUCCAGGUGGUCAACAGACAGAUGCUUCAAACUGCUUAUGUCAGCAGUGCAAGCCUACAAUAUAGGAACAUCCUCCCUCUCCAUUGCAACCAAGUGCUGAAAGAUGGAAAAAAAUAUCUUUGCUCUCGCUGUGACAGCAAGACUGAGGAGACAGCAUUAUAAGGGAUGGACAUGUUUGCAUGGUAAAAAUAGGGAGAAUUCAUUCAAUAGAGAUAGAAUUGCAGAUGGAAAUAUAACAGGUUAUAUGAUGAUGGUGAUGAACUAAGAAUAAACACAGAGUUUACCUGUUUAAACAGCCGUCUCCUCUUGCAAACAGUGAACAGAACAACAGCAGCAUAUUCUGCAUAGAUGUGUCUGAGAAACACAGAGGUCAAAAAGUUCCUGGAGAUCUCCCCUACCGCAAACCGUUGAAAGGGCUAAAGCCUAUUACAAAUAGCAAAGGAAAAUGGCGUCUCUCCUUUACAACACAUUCUUCUAUCAAAACACUGGUCUGUAAAUUUGUAAAAUUCAUUUUGCAUAAAUGUAAUAAUUUGGAUAAAAUACAUAUAAUUUAGCAACAAAAUGACUGUAUGGAAGCACAAAAAGGUCAAAACCACAUCUAUAUUAUGCAAAAAAAGGGCAGGGGGCUGCUGCAGGGAAGAGUAAUUUAGUAAAGACAGACAUAACCUUCCUUAUAUUAUUUAGGACAUAGUUGUAGUGUGGUUAGCCCUAAAAAUACAUCAGUUGCAUCUUUAUAGGAAGCAAAACAAGGACUUAUUUAAAUUGUGCAAUUCUGUUUGUGCCCAUCUCAUAUGCAAUAUUGCCAAUCGCAUCAUGAGUGAGGUAUCAAAAAAUGAGAUUUAAAAAAAAUCAUAAUACAUGUGGGGUUCUUUUUAGUUUCUGAGCCAUAGAUUACACUUGUCACAUUAUCAAGUUUUUUCUGCAACCAUGAGAUCUAGAAACAUACUUUUUUCUUUUAAAUGAAAGCUGAGAUUCUCACAUAAUAAUCACUUUAU